UGCUGAAGCAACAAAUGCCCUGCUUCCAGGAAAAGCCUCUAAGCAUCAGGUAACAUCAAAUCGUACCCCAAACCGACACAGGUGGUCAGGUAGAGAAUACCAAGGCGCUUGAGAGAACUCGGGUGAAGGAACUAGGCAAAAUGGUGCCGUAACUUCGGGAGAAGGCACGCUGACACGUAGGUGAAGUGAUUUACUCAUGGAGCUGAAGUCAGUCGAAGAUACCAGCUGGCUGCAACUGUUUAUUAAAAACACAGCACUGUGCAAACAUGAAAGUGGACGUAUACGGUGUGACGCCUGCCCGGUGCCGGAAGGUUAAUUGAUGGGGUCAGCGCAAGCGAAGCUCCUGAUCGAAGCCCCGGUAAACGGCGGCCGUAACUAUAACGGUCCUAAGGUAGCGAAAUUCCUUGUCGGGUAAGUUCCGACCUGCACGAAUGGCGUAAUGAUGGCCAGGCUGUCUCCACCCGAGACUCAGUGAAAUUGAACUCGCUGUGAAGAUGCAGUGUACCCGCGGCAAGACGGAAAGACCCCGUGAACCUUUACUAUAGCUUGACACUGAACAUUGAGCCUUGAUGUGUAGGAUAGGUGGGAGGCUUUGAAGUGUGGACGCCAGUCUGCAUGGAGCCGACCUUGAAAUACCACCCUUUAAUGUUUGAUGUUCUAACGUGGACCCGUAAUCCGGGUUGCGGACAGUGUCUGGUGGGUAGUUUGACUGGGGCGGUCUCCUCCUAAAGAGUAACGGAGGAGCACGAAGGUUGGCUAAUCCUGGUCGGACAUCAGGAGGUUAGUGCAAUGGCAUAAGCCAGCUUGACUGCGAGCGUGACGGCGCGAGCAGGUGCGAAAGCAGGUCAUAGUGAUCCGGUGGUUCUGAAUGGAAGGGCCAUCGCUCAACGGAUAAAAGGUACUCCGGGGAUAACAGGCUGAUACCGCCCAAGAGUUCAUAUCGACGGCGGUGUUUGGCACCUCGAUGUCGGCUCAUCACAUCCUGGGGCUGAAGUAGGUCCCAAGGGUAUGGCUGUUCGCCAUUUAAAGUGGUACGCGAGCUGGGUUUAGAACGUCGUGAGACAGUUCGGUCCCUAUCUGCCGUGGGCGCUGGAGAACUGAGGGGGGCUGCUCCUAGUACGAGAGGACCGGAGUGGACGCAUCACUGGUGUUCGGGUUGUCAUGCCAAUGGCACUGCCCGGUAGCUAAAUGCGGAAGAGAUAAGUGCUGAAAGCAUCUAAGCACGAAACUUGCCCCGAGAUGAGUUCUCCCUGAGACUUAGAGUCUCCUGAAGGAACGUUGAAGACGACGACGUUGAUAGGCCGGGUGUGUAAGCGCAGCGAUGCGUUGAGCUAACCGGUACUAAUGAACCGUGAGGCUUAACCUUACA
RNAcentral lists this ribosomal RNA (1369 nucleotides) under Salmonella enterica subsp. enterica serovar Agona. RNAcentral describes it as "partial 23S ribosomal RNA". It matches the Rfam family "Bacterial large subunit ribosomal RNA", at positions 1583 to 2925 of the family's 2925-position model. The record is from RNAcentral. Lineage: Bacteria; Pseudomonadati; Pseudomonadota; Gammaproteobacteria; Enterobacterales; Enterobacteriaceae.